RNAcentral lists this long non-coding RNA (1147 nucleotides) under Gallus gallus (chicken). RNAcentral's name for it is "lncRNA (ENSGALG00010011580.1)". The record is from RNAcentral. Lineage: Eukaryota; Metazoa; Chordata; Aves; Galliformes; Phasianidae.
CCAAGCAGCGUGUCCUGUUGUCUCUCAUCCUCUGCUAAAUCCGCUCUUGUGGGCACGAUGUGCUGAAUUUAAAUAAAUUCUAGUCCUUGCUAAAUAUCUGUCAAAUAUUGACUUAGUCUGUGGUGUGAGCUGACUAAGCUGAAGUUAAUGGUGUAAUUUGUGCUUGUUUUGCAUGUGCAUUGGCUGCCUGAAGGGGAGUCGCUCACGAGGGGAGAUGGGGCUGAGUCCUGUGCAGAUCUGACUGAGAGUAAUGGCAUUUACAUAAAAACCAUUAGCUCUGUUAUUGAUAAACAUGAAAAACAUCCAUUUGGAGUAAUUUUCUGAUGAGGAGUCUUUAAUAUAAGCACACAAUAGUGGCUCUCCUGCCCCUCAUCCCUCCUCACUGACCCCUUGUUGUUUUAAGGGCAAGUUUUGAUGGAGAUUUUAUUGGCAGGGAUAUGAGGAGGUUCCUAUUCCAUUUUUGUGAAGUGGACAGUUAUCUGUGUGCAUGGUAGGGAAUUAUUUAAUGCCCAUCCUAAGAGGGGUCUCUAUUAAUUGAAUGUGGAUUUAAUGUCCCUCUGAAGCACAGUUGUUCUGUGCGUGAUGUGUAUUAAAGUGUAUGGCUAGUGAUGCAUUUUGCUUUUCUUUGCAUCAUAAUGCCACUCCAUGGGUAAUCUUUUGCUUAAUCAAAACAGGGUUAAGCAAAAGUUGAGUGGUUUCCUGUUACAGGGGUACCAUUUGUUGAACCACUGUGUCUGUUAAAGGCACUCCUCAGUGUGUGCUGGAUCCACAGCCCUUAUAUUCCUUCCAGGCUGCAUCUUGCAAAGGGAGUUCUUGUUUCCCCAUGUAAUAGGCAGAGCACACUGUAAUGGUGCUUUUGGUGGUCAGUGUGUCUCAGAAACAGAUGUGGUUCUCUGUAGCACCUGAUUUUUGCAGCUAUUGGUGCCACUCCCUUACAUUUUGAUCAGAUCGAGCCUUGCUGAGAGAGCCUCUGGGGGCAAGCAGUGCCGUAGGUGAUUUCAGGCAUUGCAGCAGUGCUCUGAGCUUUGUCAGCAUUCUUAGUUCUCAACCUCAGUGUUGAGGAGGGUCUGUCUGGCUUCCCUCGGCUGGCCUACUUCUUGGGUCUGUCACUUUGUCUAUACUUAGAGCCUUUUUUCCUCUCUGAUAG